GACGAACGCUGGCGGCGUGCUUAACACAUGCAAGUCGAGCGGUAAGGCCCUUUCGGGGGUACACGAGCGGCGAACGGGUGAGUAACACGUGGGUGACCUGCCCUUAGCUCUGGGAUAAGCCUGGGAAACUGGGUCUAAUACCGGAUAUGACUCCAUGACGCAUGUUGUGGGGUGGAAAGCCUUGUGCGGCUAGGGAUGGGCCGCGGCCUAUCAGCUUGUUGGUGGGGUGAUGGCCUACCAAGGCGACGACGGGUAGCCGGCCUGAGAGGGCGACCGGCCACACUGGGACUGAGACACGGCCAGACUCCUACGGGAGGCAGCAGUGGGGAAUCUUGCGCAAUGGCGAAAGCCUGACGCAGCGACGCCGCGUGAGGGAUGACGG
This 382-nucleotide ribosomal RNA is filed under the name uncultured bacterium. Its description in RNAcentral is "bacterial SSU rRNA". It matches the Rfam family "Bacterial small subunit ribosomal RNA", at positions 28 to 414 of the family's 1533-position model. The record is from RNAcentral.